CGGGGAGAAGACUUCCCGGCCAUCCUACAAUCGCAGGACUCUGCUUCAUUCUAGAGAACUUUCACAAGCCCUGGAGCACAGAAGGAGUCCUGCUGUCCAGAUGAGGAAGCUGAGCUCAGAGAGAUUCACUAACUUACCUGCAGCCACACAGCUGAGGAAGCUGCUGUCCAGUGAAGCUGGGUGACUUGACAGUGCUUACAGAGCCAAUAAGCAGUGCAGCCAAGCUUCAAAAUCCGUCUUCUGAUUCUAAACCAGGCUCUUCACUUCUACACAACACUUCUUCCAGAAGCUUCUGUGGAUCCCGACUCGAGGAGAGUGGACGAGAGACACAGGAAGCUCAGGGGGAGGAGCUCAUUCAGGAAGGGAAAAAUGAUUACUUUCUGAUUGUGUUGGUUUUGAA
This 400-nucleotide long non-coding RNA is filed under the name Homo sapiens (human). Its description in RNAcentral is "HSALNT0338523". The record is from RNAcentral. Lineage: Eukaryota; Metazoa; Chordata; Mammalia; Primates; Hominidae.